RNAcentral lists this transfer RNA (87 nucleotides) under bacterium. RNAcentral's name for it is "tRNA-Leu". It matches the Rfam family "tRNA". From Rfam's summary of the family: Transfer RNA (tRNA) molecules are approximately 80 nucleotides in length. Their secondary structure includes four short double-helical elements and three loops (D, anti-codon, and T loops). RNAcentral also lists the same sequence under 1 other name. The record is from RNAcentral.
GCCCGGGUGGCGGAAUUGGAAGACGCGGAGGACUCAAAAUCCUUUGACCUCGCGGUCGUGUGGGUUCGAGUCCCACCCCGGGCACCA